UCGGGAAUUUUGGGCAAUGGGCGAAAGCCUGACCCAGCAACGCCGCGUGAAGGAUGAAGUAUUUCGGUAUGUAAACUUCGAAAGAAUAGGAAGAAUAAAUGACGGUACUAUUUAUAAGGUCCGGCUAACUACGUGCCAGCAGCCGCGGUAAUACGUAGGGACCAAGCGUUGUUCGGAUUUACUGGGCGUAAAGGGCGCGUAGGCGGCAAUUCAAGUCAUCUGUGAAAUCUCCGGGCUUAACUCGGAACGGUCAGAUGAUACUGCUUUGCUAGAGUGCAGAAGGGGCAAUCGGAAUUCUUGGUGUAGCGGUGAAAUGCGUAGAUAUCAAGAGGAACACCUGAGGUGAAGACGGGUUGCUGGGCUGACACUGACGCUGAGGCGCGAAAGCCAGGGGAGCAAGCGGGAUUAGAUACCCGUGUAGUCCCUGAGCGGGCUGGCAAGGCGCAU
This 447-nucleotide ribosomal RNA is filed under the name uncultured bacterium. Its description in RNAcentral is "bacterial SSU rRNA". It matches the Rfam family "Bacterial small subunit ribosomal RNA", at positions 355 to 825 of the family's 1533-position model. The record is from RNAcentral.